AUGUCCCGGGGCUGGUGCAGGCCUGUCUGGCUGUGGCGUUAGGUUCGGGGACCGAUGUAGGCCUCUCGGGCUGUGGCUGUACCUUCAGGCCUCGGGGCCGGUAUAGGCCUCUUGGGCUGUGGCUUUAUAUUCAAAGCUGGUGCUGGCCUCUUGUGCCGUGGCUGUGGCUUUAGGCCCUUGGCCUGGUUCCAGCCUCUCUGGAUGUGGCUUUAGGCCCCGGGGCCAGUGCUGGCCUUUUGGGCUGUGGCUUUAGGCCCUGGGAUCAAUGGCAGCCUGUGUGGCUGUGGCUGUGGCCUCAGGCCUUGGGGCUGGUGCUGGUUUCUCAGACUGGGGCUGGGGCUUUAGGCCCUGGGGCCGGUGUAGGCCUCUCUGGCUGUGACUUCAGGCCCUGGGGCCGGUGCUGGCCUUGCUGGUUGGGGCUUCAGGUGCCGGCCUCUCUAAGUUUGGCUGUGGCUUUAAGCCCCUGCACUGUUUCAAGUCUUUCAAGCUGUGCCUUUAGUCCCCAGGGCCUUUUUUGGCCUGCCUGGCUGUGGCUUUUGCUUUAAGCCCC
This 550-nucleotide long non-coding RNA is filed under the name Gallus gallus (chicken). RNAcentral's name for it is "lncRNA (ENSGALG00010000311.1)". The record is from RNAcentral. Lineage: Eukaryota; Metazoa; Chordata; Aves; Galliformes; Phasianidae.